Molecule: RNA transcript, 6091 nt
Organism: Zea mays
Lineage: Eukaryota; Viridiplantae; Streptophyta; Magnoliopsida; Poales; Poaceae
Gene name: transducin family protein / WD-40 repeat family protein
Exons: 7
Source: RefSeq, a predicted model, not a curated record
GAGAGUGGGCGUCCACAUCAAAUUCUGGUGAAGCACGCCACGCCCCCGCCUGCCUCUCCUCGCCCCACUCUGUCUCCCGCAAUCCUCGCCUUCUCGCCCCAAAUUGUCGGGGCUCUCGGUCCUCGCCCACGCUCUCUAUGGAAGGAGAUCGCCUCCGCUGCACCCCAGCACUCUUGCCCCGGAUCGUGGUCGGGAGAGGAGGCGACAUCCGAAACACGGUGAGUGGAGAGGAUCCCGUUUGGCCCCUGGGUAGGUCGGCUUCCUUGUGCCCCGAAUCUCGGUCCUCGCCCACCCUCUCCAUGGAAGGGGAUUCCGUGUAUCGCGAGCGGAUCAUGGUCGGGAGAGGAGGUGGCAUCCAAAGCGCAGCGAGUGGAGAGGAUCUAGUUUGGCCCCUGAGUAGGUUGGCUUCCAUGUGCCCCGGAUCCCGGUCCUCGCCCACCCUGUGCCCUGGAUCUCGAUCCUCGCCCACCCUCUCCAUAGAAGGGGAUCCCGUGUAUCGCAAGCAGACCGUGGUCGGGAGAGGAGGCGGUAUCCGAAGCAUGACGAGGACUCCUGGUAGGUCUCAUUCAUAGGCACUCAAGAAUAAUAGCCUUAAUGCAGGAUGCUAAUUGCAUAUGAGAGCGGAUUGUUGGUUCUUUGGGAUGUAUCUGAGGACCAUGCAGUUUCUGUCAGAGGCUAUGGGGAUUUACGCAUGAAGGGUCAAAUCAAUGGUGCUCAGGGGGAUUCUGGUGCAGAUCAACUAAAUACUACUAUUGAUGACAGUGAAGAAGUAAGAGAAAUUUGCUUUCUUUGUUGGGCUUCAAGAGAUGGCUCAAUUGUUGCGGUGGGCUAUAUAACAGGUGACACACUUCUAUGGGAUAUGACUACAAAAUCCUCCAGACAAGAGAAGCAAAGUGAUGUUUCAUCUAAUGUUGUUAAGCUACAACUAGUCUCAGGGAGUAGUAGGCUGCCUGUUAUUGUCUUGCAUUGGUCUGCUGGGUCAGCAGUACAUUCUAAUAAAGGAGGGCAUCUUUUUGUUUAUGGCGGCGAUGAUAUGGGAUCUGAAGAAGUUCUCAUGGUUUGCCUAUUUUUUCUUACUCAUUAUUACAAUUUCUUUUGCUUGCCAUCUUAAAGGCUGCUGUGCACACAAUAUGCCUUCUUAGGUUUGCUGCUUUACAAAUUUGGUAAAGUGAAUUCCUAGCUUCCUGAACUGAAAUCAUGGUCACCUGGCUGUGAGCCUAUGACAUGUGUUUAGUGUAGAGACACAGUACUAGCUUGACAUGGCGAUAGGGCAACCCGGGUUUGCAUGAAACAUGAUCAACCAUGAGAGUUUCCUGCAAGUAUAAGAAUUGUUUCCUCAGGCAGAACCCAUGUUGUCGACCCAAACAAUUCUGAAGAUAUUUUUAGUUCAGGUCUCAGCAUCCAAAUAAUGUAUACAUACCUAUCAUAAUCACUUCCCUAAACAUGGAAGAAGAUAAUUGUUUCCGAAAUAUUGCACUGCAGAAAACUCAGCCUCCAUCAAUGACAAAAUUUCGCAUUCUCUUGCAGGUUCUUAGCUUGGAAUCAACUGCUGGAUUAGAAUCAGUGAGAUGCAUGUCACGAACUGAUCUCAAACUUGAUGGAUCAUUUGCUGACAUGAUUCUUAUUCCUGAUACUGGGGUUCUUGAUAAAAGCAGAAUUCUGCACCUUUUGUUUUGACAAAUCCUGGAUAGCUGAAUUUUUAUGACGGUGGCUCUCUAUUUUCUGUGCAAAACUCAAAAGAGGGAAAUCCUCUUCCUGAAGCACAGAAAUUUCAAGUCGCAAUUCCUACCCUUGAUCCCAACAUAACGGUCACUGGUCUUUAUUCGCUAACCAAAAGUGAAUUUCCAAAUAUUUCACUGAAGAAAUUUUGUGCUAGGAAAAAUGUUGGGCAUUUCAUAUCAGAGAACAUGAAAUGACCUUUGACUGGUGGGGUUCCAAAUGAGAUGUCACUGAACGAAGAUCAUGCUGUUGAAAGAAUAUAAAUUGCAGGCUACCAAGAUGGUUCUGUGAGUAUAUGGGAUGCAACAUUUCCUGUUCUAAUGCCAAUGUUUGUCUUGGAUGGUAAUGUCAGUCUCAUUUGUAUAUUUGUAGUAUUACUUGCAUUAUUCCUCAUUGGUUUAUAACUAACGGGUUAACCCCAAUCAAGUUGUAACUAUUCUUUACUACAGGUUGCUGAUGUUAAUUUGGAUGGAGCUAAUGCUUCUGUAUGAUCUCUAGCCUUUUGUUCAUUAAGCAUGACUUUAGCUGUUGGGACAACAAGUGGUCUGUUGUGCAUCUAUAAACUCCGAGAACACAUUGGGGGUUCAAGCUUCCAUUUUGUGAGUGAAUUUAAGCAAGAAGGUAAAUAUUUCAUACGGAACCUGAUUAUAUAUGCCUAAAGCUUCACCUGCUGCCUAUUCCCCAACAAUGUUGUCAUCUUUGUUAAGACAGUUUUAUGCCAAUUUCACUUCUUCUCACCAGCACGUACAAGAUGUCUGUCGUGACUGGUCAUCUAACAAGCAGAAUCCAUAACAUGCUUCUUUGGUAGAGAGAGACAGUAAAUUGGUACUGUCACUUACGUGAAUGUUUAUUAUUGAAAUGAAAAUACAUUUGAUUAUGAUCGGACACUUAUAAAAACUUGACUUGCGGGGCUAAGACAACCUCCGAGCAUUGUGUGAUAGAGAAGACCUCUCAUACAUGCCAAAACAACCUUGCCCACGUGAGCGACCGCGACCUGGUCCGGGUCAUAGUCACAAAGUUUGUGGAUCGAUAGGGUUGAGGAACAUCGUACGCUACGUGUGAGAGAUUUUUACAUGGUGGGAACAAAAAUGACCUUGCGUACCCGGGUCGAGGGUCGCUACCACUGUACCCAUUUCUUGUGACUAUGGUUUUGGUCUUCGACCCGUGCUUUGGUGUGGUGGCAGGCGAGGGGAUUUUUUAACCCCAGUCUGAAAUAAUGUGUUUGUUUUUAUGUAAUCUUUGUGCUCUAAUAUACUGCUCCGAUUGAUAUGUUGGCCUGCUAAAGCUAUUAUUUUCAGUUUGCUUGCAUGGAACUCAUUAUUUUUACUAGCUCUGUUUUAUUUAAACUUAUAGUAGCACAUGUGUCCAUUAUUGAUAUUGAUUAAUCUAGCUCCUAUCAUUAUGUUCACUAUAUUGAAUUAGUUUUGACAAAAACCCUGGUAAGCUGGAAUCACAUUGUUUUGUAGAUAUUUUUCUUCAAUAUAAAUGCUUAAACUUAACCUGAUAAAUUCAUCUACAUGCUCUUUCAAAUGGCAAGCCCACUAUUGUUGAGUUUUAUGCAAAUUGGUGUGAAGUCUGCAGGGAACAAGCUCCAUAUAUCUACAAAGUUGAACAACAAUACAAAGACUGUGGAAUUGUGAGGUCUGUCCAUGCUGCCUGCUAGAAAUGGGAAAAUAUGUUAGCAGUAGCAACAAGUGUUUUUGGCCUUUGAUCUUCUGGAGGUCAUGUGGUUGCAGUUCUACCGAUACUUGUUCUACUUGGGCAAAAUUAGGACAAUUCAGUUGGAGUACACUGAUGCUAAAGAAAGCCUCCUGCAAGUUGCUCGUAAGGCACCAACAACAGCCCAUGGUUUUCGGAUCCAGUGCAACAAAUGGGUUAUCAUAGAGAGGCUGCUGCUUGGUUGGAACAGAACAAGACAUUGUGAUUUUCUUUGACUGUUUUGUAAGGAAUCAGUGAAGGAGGCUGAAUUGUGGAAUACUAUUGUGAUGAACAUAGUGAAGCAGGCUGAGUUGUUGCGUGCUUCUGGUUCUGGUCUCAGGGAGUUACUUGGAAGGGGUUUGUCUCUCCGACUCUGCUACUGCUUUUUAGGCACUGCUUUUUUUUGAAGCACACAUUGUUGUAGCUGAAACCUCCAUAAUUUCUUCACCGGUUUUAUUUAAUCUCUUGUUGCAAUUAUAGGUGUACACAAAAACUAAUUUUUCAUUUGCUUGUAUUACUAAACUUAAUUUCACAAUCAGCCUUGUAGCACUUUGAGAUUCUGUUGUUUAUUUCUUGUAUUAGAUAUUCUUCUGAGUACUGGAAUAAAGUCAAUUUAUCAUUUUUCAUCAGUAACAUCUUGAGAGGCUGCUUCUUACAUACAAACCUAAAGAACCAGAGGAAAUUCUUGAGCCUGCUCCUCUUGAAGAGGAAAUGGCACCAGUUGAAGAUCAUGUUCUUGUACCACCUGUUAAUGAAGUUGUUUCACCUCCUCCCAAGACUGAGGUGUCCCGAUACUGGUGACUUACUGGUUGGGAAAAUUAUAAUAUGGUCUAAAUCUUAUGUGCUUGAUUCUAAAAUCUGAAGUUGUGUUCCUGGUGUGGAAAUAGAGUUGUUGGGCUAUUUGUGUGGGGUGUGGGUUGGCAUGUUCGGAGCUGUUCCUGGUUGGAACCAGUGAUUUUGCUACUCUUUUGACGGAUAAUUUGAGUUUGGAGUCGUCGAAUUUUGAAACAGAGGAGUGGGUUUACAUGUAAUGUUGGCAAACGGGAUCUGAAUUAUUAAUAAAGCAACACUGUUUCGCUGAUAUUUUUAGUUCCAAUCUCUACUUCUAAUUAUAUAUAUUUGUGAGAUAGAAUUAUGCAUUGUGUACUCACAUAAUAUUUUUCAUUGCAUUUGUGUGGCCAGGACGUUUGGAAACUUUAGACCACACGGUUUUUUAGUUCAAUCAUACUCAUAGUGCGACAAGUGAUUUACAAGGUGUCAACUAAUUACACUUAAACAUAAUAUAUCUAUGUUUUUUCUCAGACAAAAUUAUACUAUGUGUUACAUUUUCUUAUCAAAAAAUACAGUCUUGCGGCAAACAUUGCACACAAGAGAAAUGAAUCUCAGCCUUGUCCGUACUUUUGUUGAAAGGCGUGGCAAAACUUGAGUUAAUUAUGUGGUGGUUAUCGCAUGGUGUUGUGUAACUAUGAGUUUAUUAUUAUGUAUGAGUUCAUUUUAUGUUUUGUAGUUAAUGAUAGGGAAUUUUAUUUGUAGUAAAAGAUAAUCAUUAGCUAUUAUCAUGUCAAGAGCUUGUCUCACUUUAUUUGUCGGCAUGAUAUAUGUGCACGUACUUCCAACAUUGUAUUAUUGGUGUCUGACAUAUCACAAAAUUAAGUGCUAAUCCGAAAAUGCUUCAGCCCAUAGUGGCCCUUUCUAUAUUGAUUCUUUAGAAAUAAUUUGUGUGAUAUUAUAAUGUUUUGUUCGACACCAGUUUAUUCUAUUUGAGUCGGUGUAUUUAUAAUAAUAUUACAAAUUUAUAUCGUCGAUAUAAUAUUAGUUUUACGGUGAUAUUUUGUCAUGAAUUUUGCAUACCAUAAUGGUAUUUGUCGUUACCAGAAAAAUGUUUUAUACAAAUUUUUAACUCUCGUGGCAACGUACGGACAUAUCUAUACUACUAUUAAGAAACUAAGGAGGGUGUUUCUCCGUGCCCCCGCCUCCGUCUCUCGCCCGCGACCUCCCACACCACGCGCUAGCCCCCGCCCCCUCUCUCGACGCCCAAAUCCACGAUGGCUGAGCAGCGGUACCAGCGGAGGAAGGCGGCCUAGCCGAUGUAGGUGAGUAGCACGACGGGGACGAGUCCCGUGUAUCCUCUCCAGCGCCCGCCGCCACCGCUCGUCCUCCUCCACUGACAAGCCCGAGCCAUGUCACAUCCACACUGAGCUAGAUGGACCAAUUUGCUUGCUCGGCUGGGGUUACGGCAGAAGGAGGGAGAGCCAAUCGGUGAUGGUGGUGUUCACAAGGCCCGGGGAGAGGGCGACCAGCUUUGCCAUCGCAUGCAGCCUGCUCAGCCGCUUCGUCAACUAGAACGGUGUUGCGGCCACCGAGCUAGGCCUAAGGAUCAAAGGCGAGGUAGAGCAGCAGAGUGCGUCGGUGACAACCCAAAAGAGGAGGGCAAUGUGCAGCAAACCAAAAGUUGUUGCCUCAGAUGUGAAAUGUGAUGACCCAGAGCGGGAGGAAGUUUCCAAUAAAAAUGGGGAACUGGAGGAGUGUAACAAACGUGAAAUUUAUUUUUUGCACUCUAUAUGCUAUCUUAGAAGUUUCAAAAGUUUCUUGUUUGUGCGUAAUUCAAAAUUUACUGUUAGCCAUUGUUCCUGAACAACCCUUGAUUUUAUUUCUUGAAUGUGCACCCGAUUCA